AUCAGCUGGGGAUCUUGUUAAAAUGCAGAUUCAGAUUAAAUGGGUCGGGCAGGGAAGUCUGAGAUUUUGCAUUUCUAACAAGCUCCCAGGUGAUGCC
This 97-nucleotide microRNA precursor is filed under the name Procavia capensis (Cape rock hyrax). Its description in RNAcentral is "miRNA (ENSPCAG00000020587.1)". It matches the Rfam family "mir-544 microRNA precursor family". Lineage: Eukaryota; Metazoa; Chordata; Mammalia; Hyracoidea; Procaviidae. The record is from RNAcentral.